RNAcentral lists this ribosomal RNA (375 nucleotides) under uncultured organism. RNAcentral describes it as "partial 16S ribosomal RNA". It matches the Rfam family "Bacterial small subunit ribosomal RNA", at positions 527 to 896 of the family's 1533-position model. The record is from RNAcentral.
GUAGGGUCCGAGCGUUUAUCCGGAAUCAUUGGGCGUAAAGAGCUCGUAGGCGGUUCAGCAAGUCGGCUGUGAAAGUUCGAGGCUCAACCUCGAAAUUGCAGUCGAUACUGCUGUGACUUGAAUUCGGUAGAGGAGAAUGGAAUUCCCGGUGUAGCGGUGAAAUGCGCAGAUAUCGGGAGGAACACCAGUAGCGAAGGCGGUUCUCUGGGCCGAUAUUGACGCUGAGGAGCGAAAGCGUGGGGGAGCAAACAGGAUUAGAUACCCUGGUAGUCCACGCCGUAAACGUUGGAUGCUAGGUGUGGCGGUCUACCAACGACUGCCGUGCCGAAGCUAACGCAUUAAGCAUCCCCGCCUGGGAGUACGGCCGCAAGGCUA